RNAcentral lists this ribosomal RNA (505 nucleotides) under uncultured bacterium. RNAcentral's name for it is "partial 16S ribosomal RNA". It matches the Rfam family "Bacterial small subunit ribosomal RNA", at positions 29 to 523 of the family's 1533-position model. The record is from RNAcentral.
AGUGAACGCUGCGGUAGGCCUAACACAUGCAAGUCGAACGGCAGCACAGGAGAGCUUGCUCUCUGGGUGGCGAGUGGCGGACGGGUGAGGAAUACAUCGGAAUCUACUCUGUCGUGGGGGAUAACGUAGGGAAACUUACGCUAAUACCGCAUACGACCUACGGGUGAAAGCAGGGGACCUUCGGGCCUUGCGCGAUUGAAUGAGCCGAUGUCGGAUUAGCUAGUUGGCGGGGUAAAGGCCCACCAAGGCGACGAUCCGUAGCUGGUCUGAGAGGAUGAUCAGCCACACUGGAACUGAGAAACGGUCCAGACUCCUACGGGAGGCAGCAGUGGGGAAUAUUGGACAAUGGGCGCAAGCCUGAUCCAGCCAUACCGCGUGGGUGAAGAAGGCCUUCGGGUUGUAGAGCCCUUUUGUUGGGAAAGAAAUCCAGCUGGCUAAUACCCGGUUGGGAUGACGGUACCCAAAGAAUAAGCACCGGCUAACUUCGUGCCAGCCGCCGCCGUAA